This 429-nucleotide ribosomal RNA is filed under the name Chloroflexota bacterium. Its description in RNAcentral is "Chloroflexi bacterium partial 16S ribosomal RNA". It matches the Rfam family "Bacterial small subunit ribosomal RNA", at positions 355 to 776 of the family's 1533-position model. Lineage: Bacteria; Bacillati; Chloroflexota. The record is from RNAcentral.
UGGGGAAUAUUGCACAAUGGGCGCAAGCCUGAUGCAGCCAUGCCGCGUGUAUGAAGAAGGCCUUCGGGUUGUAAAGUACUUUCAGCGGGGAGGAAGGGAGUAAAGUUAAUACCUUUGCUCAUUGACGUUACCCGCAGAAGAAGCACCGGCUAACUCCGUGCCAGCAGCCGCGGUAAUACGGAGGGUGCAAGCGUUAAUCGGAAUUACUGGGCGUAAAGCGCACGCAGGCGGUUUGUUAAGUCAGAUGUGAAAUCCCCGGGCUCAACCUGGGAACUGCAUCUGAUACUUGCAAGCUUGAGUCUCGUAGAGGGGGGUAGAAUUCCAGGUGUAGCGGUGAAAUGCGUAGAGAUCUGGAGGAAUACCGGUGGCGAAGGCGGCCCCCUGGACGAAGACUGACGCUCAAGUGCGAAAGCGUGGGGAGCAAACAGG